RNAcentral lists this small nuclear RNA (141 nucleotides) under Dasypus novemcinctus (nine-banded armadillo). RNAcentral's name for it is "U4 spliceosomal RNA (ENSDNOG00000035530.1)". It matches the Rfam family "U4 spliceosomal RNA". From Rfam's summary of the family: U4 small nuclear RNA (U4 snRNA) is a component of the major U2-dependent spliceosome. Lineage: Eukaryota; Metazoa; Chordata; Mammalia; Cingulata; Dasypodidae. The record is from RNAcentral.
AGCUUUGUGCAGUGGCAGUAUUGUAGCCAAUGAGGUUUAUCCGAGUUGUGAUUAUUGCUUAUUGAACACUUUUCCCAAAACCCUGCCAUGACACCUUGAAAUACAGUUGGCAUUGACAAUUUUUCACAGUCUCUACAAAGA